GACCCACUAGAGGGCACCCACGUGACACCCUGUCAUGACUCCCUUCUUCUUUUCUUUUUCUCCAUUCUUUGUCCGUACAGUAUUUUGCCAGGAUGUUUUUUCUUUCAUUAAGGGUAGAAUUAUCCAGGAAUCUGUUCUCCCAAUGUGUGCUGCUUUCUCCUUUCAGAUGCUCUGACUCCGUCUAUGAACGCAGACAGCUCAGAUUCUCGGACUCAAAUGUUCCAGCAGGAUUCAUCCUCCAGUAAACAUCAAACGAGCAGCAGGCCAACGGGCCAAACCAACCAUUAUCUCCAUGACGUCCAUGGUGACCAGCUGCAGAGAGGUGUGGUGCUGGGGCCCCCGGGAUCUCCUCAAGGGGUGAAGUCUGUUUCUCAGGCACAGAAAGAUGACAGGCUGAAGGAGCUGGAGAGGAGGCUGGAAGAGCUGGCGCAUAUGCUGAACACGGUCAAAACCCAGAACGCAGACCUGCAAUCACGCGUAAAGUACCUGGAGGGAUGUGAGUGUGUGAGGCAGCGAUGUGUGUGGGAGGGGCAUGAAGUGGAGAAUGGACAGCGCUGGCCAUUGACCUCAGCACUGUGUGUGAGUGCACAUCUGGAAAGGUCACAUGUCAAACUAACGUAAAAGGAUGUGAGCUGGAUGGUUCAGUUCAUAAUGUGUGACGGAUAGCUGCAAGACGUGUACGUGUAAGGAGGGUAACAGGGAAUGCCAUCCCCAACCCUGCCCUUCACUGGAGUGCACACAAAGGGAGACUGUACCUGGAGACUGUUGCCAGAGAUGCAGAGGCUGUGUCCAUUCUGGUGUCCAGUAUGAUCACGGAGCCGAGUGGAGGUCGACAGGGAGUCUGCUAUUGUCUGGAAUGUCACGUUCGCUGUGAGAGGGAGCAAUGUAACACACCGUGUGAAAACCCAGCUGCUCCUCCACCCAACACCUGCUGUCCAGUGUGUCAAGGCUGCGGUGUGAACGGCUGUGACUUCUCUAACGGAGCUGUGAUCCCUACUGGAGACCGUUGUCAAGUGUGCACAUGUUUGGUAUGGCAUUAAUAAUCAAAUUCAACAAUACAUUUCAAUUCAUCGUGUGUAUAAAUCAAUUGCAUCCUUAUUAUAUCUUUCUCCUUCAGAACGGGAACGUUGCUUGUUCACCCCUACCUUGUGCUGCUUUGACUUGUCAUAACCCGGUGCAUCGUGCUGGAGACUGUUGCCCGCGAUGUGAGCAGUGUGAAUAUGAAUCCAAGAUGUACGUGGACGGACAGAAGUUCCCCUCUACGAGAGACCCCUGCCUCCACUGCCACUGCAAGGCAGGAGGUGUGUCUUGUGAGCGCAUGGACUCAGCAUGCCCUACAGCUCACUGAAGUCAUCCAGUAAAGCACAAAGACGAGUGUUGUCCCACAUGCGAUGGUCAGUAGUCUGCAGUGCUGUAGUGGUAAAAUUAGAGGUGGGUAAACUCUGAAUU
This is a non-coding RNA of Gasterosteus aculeatus aculeatus (three-spined stickleback), 1449 nucleotides long. NCBI's taxonomy places the organism in Eukaryota, Metazoa, Chordata, Actinopteri, Perciformes, Gasterosteidae. The record is from RefSeq and is a predicted model, not a curated record.